AAUUCGAUUAGAGUUUGAUCCUGGCUCAGAUUGAACUGCUGGCGGCAUGCCUUACACAUGCAAGUCGAACGGCAGCACGGGAGCUUGCUCCUGGUGGCGAGUGGCGAACGGGUGAGUAAUACAUCGGAACGUACCCAGGAGUGGGGGAUAACGUAGCGAAAGUUACGCUAAUACCGCAUAUUCUGUGAGCAGGAAAGCGGGGGAUCGCAAGACCUCGCGCUCUUGGAGCGGCCGAUGUCGGAUUAGCUAGUUGGUGAGGUAAAAGCUCACCAAGGCGACGAUCCGUAGCAGGUCUGAGAGGAUGAUCUGCCACACUGGGACUGAGACACGGCCCAGACUCCUACGGGAGGCAGCAGUGGGGAAUUUUGGACAAUGGGGGCAACCCUGAUCCAGCCAUGCCGCGUGAGUGAAGAAGGCCUUCGGGUUGUAAAGCUCUUUCGGCGGGGAAGAAAUGGCAACGGCUAAUAUCCGUUGUUGAUGACGGUACCCGCAUAAGAAGCACCGGCUAACUACGUGCCAGCAGCCGCGGUAAUACGUAGGGUGCGAGCGUUAAUCGGAAUUACUGGGCGUAAAGCGUGCGCAGGCGGUUUCGUAAGACAGACGUGAAAUCCCCGGGCUCAACCUGGGAACUGCGUUUGUGACUGCGAGGCUAGAGUACGGCAGAGGGGGGUAGAAUUCCACGUGUAGCAGUGAAAUGCGUAGAGAUGUGGAGGAAUACCGAUGGCGAAAGGCAGCCCCCUGGGUUAGUACUGACGCUCAUGCACGAAAGCGUGGGG
RNAcentral lists this ribosomal RNA (776 nucleotides) under uncultured bacterium. RNAcentral describes it as "bacterial SSU rRNA". It matches the Rfam family "Bacterial small subunit ribosomal RNA", at positions 1 to 766 of the family's 1533-position model. The record is from RNAcentral.